AAGUUGUCAGCAGGGGGAAUAACCCAGGGCUGUGAAUGUGCCCUGUCACUGUGAUCAGGUUCCUCCUUCUAAUCCACCAACUUAGUGUUGAUGAAGACUAAACAGAGAGAUCCCAGCCUUCUUUCUACUUGCUGUAGCUCAGAGUUACUCCACACUGCAGAUAUGACGCCUCUGUUCAUCUCAGUGCUGCUGGCUGCUAUGAGCCUUGAAUGCAGAGCACAACAAGAAAACGUGCUGCAACCAACAGGAGAUGUGACUGCUACUGAAGGAGAGGCAGUAACACUUGGCUGUCAAUAUAGCAGCAGAUCAACUAAUAAUAAUCUCUUCUGGUACAAACAGGAUGGAAACAGCCCCAAAUUCAUUCUGAUGCGCGUUCAAGGGGAUGAAGGGAACACAGCGGACGAGUUCAGGGACAGAUUUUCAUCUACACUCAAUUCCAAGAUAAGAUCAGUUCCUCUGAAGAUCUCCUCAGCUAAGCUGUCUGACUCUGCUGUGUACUACUGUGCUCUGAGGCCCACAGUGACAGGAAAAUACUCCAGACAAGCAACUGGUAGUGAUGAGUUUUACUGGUAUCGUCAAUAUCCAGGAAAACCACCAGAGUUCAUCAUCUCUCAUUUGGGAACAGGAGUAAUAAUGAAAAGUCCAAUCCCUGGAUUGUCUGUUUCAGUGAGUGAGGAUAAAACCAAAAUGGAUCUCCAGAUCUCCUCUGCUGCAGGGCCAGACUCUGCUGUGUACUACUGUGCUCUGAGGCCACAGUGA
Molecule: non-coding RNA, 759 nt
Organism: Etheostoma spectabile (orangethroat darter)
Lineage: Eukaryota; Metazoa; Chordata; Actinopteri; Perciformes; Percidae
Source: the annotation of a RefSeq genome assembly